AAACUAUAAAACGACAUGUUGCUCUUGUCAACUCUGGUGGUGUGUAUUUUAAAUACCGAGGCGUUAAUUCAACAACCCUGUAAGACAUCAGGGGAAUGUAACUCUGAUGAAUGUUGUAUAUUCAAAAUAUCAUUCGAGGGUAAAAGACAACUAAUCGGUUAUUGUUCACCCAGAGCUGCUGAAAAUGAAAAGUGUGUGAUGUUUACGAAGUAUUCACCUACCGUAAGGUAUGGUACAUGUCCCUGUGCUGAUGGCUAUAUUUGUGACAGUCGUGGAGUGAUGGAUAUCAGAGGUGUAUGUAGAAAGAGCGUAAACGAUGGACACACCAGUUAAUUGCUGUUCAUUCCUGUUUGUACGACCAACUCGAAUAACACCGAUAUUGUCAAUAAAAAUCAU
Molecule: long non-coding RNA, 396 nt
Organism: Patella vulgata (common limpet)
Lineage: Eukaryota; Metazoa; Mollusca; Gastropoda; Patellidae
Exons: 5
Source: RefSeq, a predicted model, not a curated record